RNAcentral lists this transfer RNA (63 nucleotides) under Branchinella kugenumaensis. RNAcentral describes it as "tRNA-Ala". The record is from RNAcentral. Lineage: Eukaryota; Metazoa; Arthropoda; Branchiopoda; Anostraca; Thamnocephalidae.
AGGAGUGUAGUUUUAUCUAAAACAUUAGGUUUGCAUCUUAAAGAAAGUAGUUACUCGCUCUCA